Molecule: long non-coding RNA, 1181 nt
Filed under: Panax ginseng (ginseng)
Lineage: Eukaryota; Viridiplantae; Streptophyta; Magnoliopsida; Apiales; Araliaceae
Description: long non-coding RNA (PGIN_LNC012641)
Source: RNAcentral
CCGACCAAACAAUAGAAAACUAUUUGUUUAAGACUUCCGCAUAUCUAUAUAACAUGUUUCACGACUCAAAAGUAAACCAAGAUUGAAAAGAUUCAAUCUUGGUUUAUGUUUUCAAUCUUGGUUUAUGACUAUACCUUACAUCCAAGGCCCCUUACCUCAAAAUGAUCAACAAAACAUACCUCUUUUAUAUUCCUUCUACUGCAAGUCAACAUGAGUUCAAUUGUUUGCAUUACAUUCUUGUUGAUUAGUUUUAAGCUACCAACAGUUACCUUGUAUAUUACUUUUGAGCUCUUGUUUUCAAAUUCUUUUGGUUCUCAUGACUUCAGCUUUCAAAGCAGUUUUGACAGUCUUAAGUUGCAACACUUUGCUUAUAAUCACCGCUAACAAUUCACUUCCAUAGUUCACAACAAUUGCCAGAACCACUUUGCCAAUUUGCCAAUUUUCCAUGCUUACUGGCACUUACUUCAAACAUUUUUUUCCAAAACAACACCAAAUUUUAACUUUUUGCUAAUAAUAUUCCCAUAAAUAAUUAAAUAUCAUUAGAUUGUACUCAUGAAUAUCUUAUAUCUGAUUCAAGAAUCAUAAUUAGAGAGAGUAUAUACAAAUCUAAUCAAGCUUUUAGUGGUAUAGAACACACACACACACACACAUAUAUAUAUAUAUAUAUAUAUAUAUAUAUAUUACCUGGAACAGUUUGAUAACCAUGAGAAUAGUAAUGGGCAUUUCCAGGUACACCUGGAGGAGGCAUUGGUUGGGGAAAACCAAUUACCGGCUGAGGCGGUGGCGGAGAUUGAGAGUUGAUUACCCCCUGAAAAGUCCCGUAGUAAUACGGCGACGACGGCGGAGGCGGCGGAGCCGACGGCUGCUCACUGGGUCCGCCGUACGACGCGACGCCUCUGUUCUUCCCUUCUUCGCCCAUCUCUCCGAUCGAGGGAUUAGGGUUUCGGAUCAACGUCGUUGAGUUCGGAUUCUCCUCCGUUUCUUCCUCGUAACCGAUUUGGGAUUUGGUUUUAAAAAUGUUUCUGUUUGAUUUUGUUUCGAUAAAUGGUUAUGGCGGUGUCUCCGCGGGUUUGCUUUGCUGUUAAAUUUGACCCGUACGGCAACUGGAUAUGUAUUCACAAUUUAGAUUUUCUUUUAAUUAAUUAAUUAUUAUAAUUUUAGAGAGAGCAUAAGAAGAUUAU